UACGAAGGUGGCAAGCGUUGUUCGGAUUUACUGGGCGUACAGGGUGCGUAGGCGGUUGGAUAAGCCCUCCGUGAAAUCUCCAGGCUUAACCUGGAAAGUGCAGAGGGGACUGUUCAGCUAGAGGAUGGGAGAGGAGCGCGGAAUUCCCGGUGUAGCGGUGAAAUGCGCAGAUAUCAGGAGGAACACCGGUGGCGAAGGCGGUGAUCUGGGCCGACACUGACGCUGUAGAGCGAAAGCGUGGGGAGCGAACAGG
Molecule: ribosomal RNA, 253 nt
Filed under: uncultured bacterium
Lineage: Bacteria
Description: partial 16S ribosomal RNA
Rfam family: Bacterial small subunit ribosomal RNA
Source: RNAcentral